UACGGGUAACGGGGAUUAGGGUUCGAUUCCGGAGAGGGAGCCUGAGAAACGGCUACCACAUCCAAGGAAGGCAGCAGGCGCGCAAAUUACCCAAUCCCGACACGGGGAGGUAGUGACAAUAAAUAACAAUACGGGGCUCAUUUGGGUCUCGUAAUUGGAAUGAGUACAAUUUAAAUCCCUUAACGAGGAACAAUUGGAGGGCAAGUCUGGUGCCAGCAGCCGCGGUAAUUCCAGCUCCAAUAGCGUAUAUUAAAGUUGUUGCAGUUAAAAAGCUCGUAGUUGAACUUCGGGGUUUACCCAUUGGUCAGGCUUAAUUGUCUGUACUGGUGAGAUGAAUCUCUACCUUCUGAGGAACUUUCAUGCCAUUUAUUUGGUGUGAUUGGAAAUCAGGACUGUUACUUUGAAAAAAUUAGAGUGUUUAAAGCAGGCUAACGUCUGAAUACAUUAGCAUGGAAUAAUGAAAUAGGACGGAUUGAUUCUAUUUCGUUGGUUUCUAGGAUCACCGUAAUGAUUAAUAGGGAUAGUUGGGGGCAUUAGUAUUCAAUUGCCAGAGGUGAAAUUCUUGGAUUUAUUGAAGACUAACUACUGCGAAAGCAUUUGCCAAGGAUGUUUUCAUUAAUCAAGAACGAAAGUUAGGGGAUCGAAGACGAUCAGAUACCGUCGUAGUCUUAACCAUAAACUAUGCCGACUAGGGAUCGGACGAAGUUAAUUUUAUAAUGACGCGUUCGGCACCUUACGGGAAACCAAANUUUUGNGGGUUU
Molecule: ribosomal RNA, 761 nt
Filed under: Diversispora spurca
Lineage: Eukaryota; Fungi; Glomeromycota; Glomeromycetes; Diversisporales; Diversisporaceae
Description: SSU rRNA
Rfam family: Eukaryotic small subunit ribosomal RNA
Source: RNAcentral